This 770-nucleotide ribosomal RNA is filed under the name Halomonas sp. SAV2. RNAcentral describes it as "bacterial SSU rRNA". It matches the Rfam family "Bacterial small subunit ribosomal RNA", at positions 85 to 851 of the family's 1533-position model. Lineage: Bacteria; Pseudomonadati; Pseudomonadota; Gammaproteobacteria; Oceanospirillales; Halomonadaceae. The record is from RNAcentral.
GAGGCGUCGAGCGGCGGACGGGUGAGUAAUGCAUAGGAAUCUGCCCGGUAGUGGGGGAUAACUUGAGGAAACUCAAGCUAAUACCGCAUACGCCCCAAGGGGGAAAGCAGGGGAUCUUCGGACCUUGCGCUAUCGGAUGAGCUUAUGUCGGAUUAGCUAGUUGGUGAGGUAACGGCUCACCAAGGCCGCGAUCCGUAGCUGGUCUGAGAGGAUGAUCAGCCACAUCGGGACUGAGACACGGCCCGAACUCCUACGGGAGGCAGCAGUGGGGAAUAUUGGACAAUGGGCGAAAGCCUGAUCCAGCCAUGCCGCGUGUGUGAAGAAGGCCCUCGGGUUGUAAAGCACUUUCAGCGAGGAAGAAGGCUUGUGGGCUAAUACCCCGCAAGAAGGACAUCACUCGCAGAAGAAGCACCGGCUAACUCCGUGCCAGCAGCCGCGGUAAUACGGAGGGUGCAAGCGUUAAUCGGAAUUACUGGGCGUAAAGCGCGCGUAGGCGGCUUGAUAAGCCGGUUGUGAAAGCCCCGGGCUCAACCUGGGAACGGCAUCCGGAACUGUCAGGCUAGAGUGCAGGAGAGGAAGGUAGAAUUCCCGGUGUAGCGGUGAAAUGCGUAGAGAUCGGGAGGAAUACCAGUGGCGAAGGCGGCCUUCUGGACUGACACUGACGCUGAGGUGCGAAAGCGUGGGUAGCAAACAGGAUUAGAUACCCUGGUAGUCCACGCCGUAAACGAUGUCGACUAGCCGUUGGGGUCCUCGAGACCUUUGUGGCGCAG